UACGUAGGGUGCGAGCGUUGUCCGGAAUUAUUGGGCGUAAAGAGCUUGUAGGCGGUUUGUCGCGUCUGCUGUGAAAAUCCGGGGCUCAACCCCGGACUUGCAGUGGGUACGGGCAGACUAGAGUGCGGUAGGGGAGACUGGAAUUCCUGGUGUAGCGGUGAAAUGCGCAGAUAUCAGGAGGAACACCGGUGGCGAAGGCGGGUCUCUGGGCCGUAACUGACGCUGAGGAGCGAAAGCAUGGGGAGCGAACAGG
Molecule: ribosomal RNA, 253 nt
Filed under: uncultured bacterium
Lineage: Bacteria
Description: partial 16S ribosomal RNA
Rfam family: Bacterial small subunit ribosomal RNA
Source: RNAcentral